Molecule: long non-coding RNA, 449 nt
Filed under: Pongo abelii (Sumatran orangutan)
Lineage: Eukaryota; Metazoa; Chordata; Mammalia; Primates; Hominidae
Description: lincRNA
Source: RNAcentral
GGAGAGGGAGAUGGAGAGGGAGAGGGAGAGGAGAAUCAUUCUUUACAGAGGAAAAGUCACAGCAAUGGCAUUCUGGUGUUUUACUUUUGUAUUAAAUACGUCUCUAUUUGAAGGGUUAAUGUUUUUACUGAAGGAAUAACAUGUUCUUACUUCUUUCAAAGAUUGCUGUCAACAAAUGGUAAUCACCAAUCAUGGAAGAAUUGCUUGACUAACACGAAAGGAAGCAUGGUUUGCCCAGUGUGGGCUCCCUGCACUCAAAGCAUUGGCUACACUGCAGACAGAAACUGUACAGAAGUGGAUGGCGUGCUAACAGAGAUGAGAAAUGACAACUGACAUCUAACAAGAACAUAUGGAAACUAUUUCCCAUAAAUAAGGUGCACAUGUUUCCAUAGCAACCUCUUCUGUUGUGUUCAAUCCUGUGAAACAGAAAUAUAAAAACAAACACAACU